ACCGGGGGUGGGUGAAAGGAAGGGUGGAAAGGAGGCGAUGACCGCUUACCCGCAUGGGCAGUUGCCCCCGGUUUGCCCCUUCCUGCCUGGUCCGCGGGUGGGGGUAACGGGGCGGGGGCGGGAAGGCUUAAUUCGGUGCAAUAGCAAAAACAAAAGGCGGUCUUGCUCAGGAAACGCAGCAGCUGCUCGCGCACCGCCUCCCUGCCGGAGCAGCAGCAGCACGCCGUGUUAAGGAGGGGGGGGAGGGGGAAGAGGGAAAGCGAAGGGCAUCCACGCAGGGAAUGUCUGAACGGCCCCCUUCUCCGCCCCAAAGCGCCGCUGAAAAAGCCACUCUCCGAUUCAGAUUCAGACCCCAGAGCAAAGUAAGGGACGGAGAGGCGUCUAGGUUAGAGGCGCGCGUAGCGUGCGCCCGGUCUCCAGUAAUAACAUCCGAGUCGGUCUUUGUGCGGAAUCCACCACAGGAGUUUUCCCCCUUCAGAUCCGAAGUCAUUUCUAACCGUGGAACCCCAGUUUAAAAACAACAACAACUUUCAAGUGGGGAUUUCUAACCAAUAAUCGCUUAAGAAAGAGCCAAACAUUUCCUUGCUUAUUCGCCAGUUCUCUCCUGAAAUAUUUAUUAUAGGGGAAAGAUCCUGAAUGGAGUUGCCCUCAGGCCCCAGAAAUGGACCUCAACUCAUUUUCAUAUGUAUUUGGAUUUUUAUAUGUAUUCAAAAUCAAAUUAAUUUAGAAUAAACAGUUCAACCCUAUAGGAAUACCAGAUAAGCAAACGACACAACAUAAAUAUAAAUGUAUUGAUAAUGGAUAGUACAGAAAUAUAACAGCCAUUAUACUAGGAGUAUUAAGUGAUAAUUAAUUUUAAUUGAGUACCUUUCUUUAAACAGUUAAUCAUUAAAGUGGAUAUGUUUUCAAGAUUCCUCUGCUAUUUAAGGAAGUGAGCAAUAACUUACACCUUAUUACAUAAAACGCUCCAUACGCAGUCUUGUAAAGAAAUACAAUUUUUAAUCUCUUAUUCUUCAUUGUAAUGUAUCAAAACCAAAAGAACAACAAUAAUUACAAAACAGAGAUGAAUUUCCAAAUAUCUGCAAUUAAGAUCUAUUCUCAGUAGUUAAAAUUAUUCUCCUGCAUAUAACUCUAACCAAGUUUUAAUUAAAGAAUAUAUCUCAUACAAUAACUCAGGCCAACCAUCACAUAUUCCAUUCAAGAUCUUCAUUUUUGGAUGUGUUUAUCCCAUGCUUUGGACCAAAGUCUGGGAUAAAGAAGGGUUUCACAGAAAGCCAGCAG
This is a non-coding RNA of Notechis scutatus (mainland tiger snake), 1281 nucleotides long. The record is from RefSeq and is a predicted model, not a curated record. Lineage: Eukaryota; Metazoa; Chordata; Lepidosauria; Squamata; Elapidae.